Long non-coding RNA from Wasmannia auropunctata (little fire ant), 1044 nucleotides. RefSeq lists it as uncharacterized. Lineage: Eukaryota; Metazoa; Arthropoda; Insecta; Hymenoptera; Formicidae. The record is from RefSeq and is a predicted model, not a curated record. The transcript is spliced from 4 exons.
AGAUCGAAAUUGAUCGAAAUCGAGUCGCGUUCCGCGACGUGCGCGAAUCAAAUUUGAAUUGGCGGCGUCGAUGAGUAAGCGGUGAGCGUCGUGUUUCGCGUUCGCGUUGUUGUUAGUGUUGUUACUCGCUCGUCCGAAGUUUAUCCGUCCGAGGAGUGCGUUGUGUCGGUAGUGCGACAAUGUGCGACAAUCGAGUCGCGCGCGAUGUUACUCAUAUGACGCAAUUUUUUAUGGAUCAGUUGCGAAAGGUAAAUAAAAGCUUUCGCGUUUUGAGACCGGCAGGCGCGUCUUGACGUACAGGUUAGGUUUCCGUGAUAUCCGAAGAUUUCACCGCGCUCACUGGAAAAUCGGUCGUCGUGCGCGAUAUUCGUGUCCCGGAAGUGUCGACAAAAUGACAAAGAGCCGGUAAUUGUGUCUUGCCUACUGGUCAAGCGAGCGGACAUUUUCGGAGGGAUUGAGCUGCCGGUAGGAGGAAAGCGGUGAAUCCGGCUGUGAUCGCAUAUCGGCUGCACGCAUUUUACGUCGUUCUCGAAAUACGUCUGAAUACGGAGUACAUACCGCUUGUAUGCUUCCCUGAGACGACUAUGCUCCUGUCGAUCUUCCCUGCUUCUCCGAUGUAUUUUGAUUUCUCGCGGAGCUCUGAGUUCCUUCGUACAAAGUUCUCUCGGUGGAAUCAGUGGGGAAAUCACCGCGUUAUAUGUGUACACAGCGUAGCUCUCCUGCAAAAUUGAUAGCGCGACAGCCAGCGGAAAUGGCGUGGUAAUGUCCUACCUACGCCAAAUAAUGAUCUUUGAAGAAGGAAACGGUGCGUGGACCGCAUCUCUUUCGGUGAGUCUUUUUCUUUACGAUAUCAAACGAGACAUAAAUGUGGAGAUCUGGUAGACCCGAGGCAAUUAUUUUUAAUAUACUUUAGAUUUAUAGCGGGAAAGGGUUACAGGCGAGGCGAGGAUCUCGUUUCGCCUCCCUUUCCGUUUCUCGCGUUCUGACUUUUAUCGGUUUUUUUUGUUCACAAAGUAUACAAGCGCAACUAGUUAUCUCCACCCU